Molecule: ribosomal RNA, 1472 nt
Filed under: uncultured Bordetella sp.
Lineage: Bacteria; Pseudomonadati; Pseudomonadota; Betaproteobacteria; Burkholderiales; Alcaligenaceae
Description: partial 16S-23S ribosomal RNA intergenic spacer
Rfam family: Bacterial small subunit ribosomal RNA
Source: RNAcentral
AGUUCGAUUAUGGCUCAGAUUGAACGCUGGCGGGAUGCUUUACACAUGCAAGUCGAACGGCAGCACGGACUUCGGUCUGGUGGCGAGUGGCGAACGGGUGAGUAAUGUAUCGGAACGUGCCUAGUAGCGGGGGAUAACUACGCGAAAGCGUAGCUAAUACCGCAUACGCCCUUCGGGGAAAGCGGGGGACCUUCGGGCCUCGCACUAUUGAAACGGCCGAUAUCGGAUUAGCUAGUUGGUGGGGUAACGGCUCACCAAGGCGACGAUCCGUAGCUGGUUUGAGAGGACGACCAGCCACACUGGGACUGAGACGGCUGAACUCCCUACGGGAGGCAGCAGUGGGGAAUUUUGGACAAUGGGGAAACCUGAUCCAGCCAUCCCGCGUGUGCGAUGAAGGCCUUCGGGUUGUAAAGCACUUUUGGCAGGAAAGAAACGGCCUGGGAUAAUACCCCGUGCAACUGACGGUACCUGCAGAAUCAGCACCGGCUAACUACGUGCCAGCAGCCGCGGUAAUACGUAGGGUGCAAGCGUUAAUCGGAAUUACUGGGCGUAAAGCGUGCGCAGGCGGUUCGGAAGGAAAGAAAGAUGUGAAAUCCCAGAGCUUAACUUUGGAACUGCAUUUUUAACUACCGAGCUAGAGUGUGUCAGAGGAGGUGGAAUUCCGCGUGUAGCAGUGAAAUGCGUAGAUAUGCGGAGGAACACCGAUGGCGAAGGCAGCCUCCUGGGAUAACACUGACGCUCAUGCACGAAAGCGUGGGAGCAAACAAGGAUUAGAUACCCUGGUAGUCCACGCCUAAACGAUGUCAACUAGCUGUUGAGGCCUUCGGGCCUUGGUAGCGCAGCUAACGCGUGAAGUUGACGCCACCAGAAUGCGUUGCAGAUUAAAACUCGAAAGAAUGACGGGAUGUUGCCACAAACAGUGGGAUGGUGUGAUUCAAGUAUUCGGCAUAGCGAAAACACACCUAUACGUGGAGUCCCGAAGAGAUUUGGGAGUGCUCGCAAGAGAACCGGAACACAGGUGCUGCAUGGCUGUCGUCAGCUCGUGUCGUGAGAUGUUGGGUUAAGUCCCACAACAGGCGCAACCUUGUCAUUGAAUUUAUACGAAAGGGCACUCUAUUAAGGACUGCCGGUGACAAACCGGAGGAAGGUGGGGAUGACGUCAAGUCCUCAUGGCCCUUAUGGGUAGGGCUUCACACGUCAUACAAUGGUCGGGACAGAGGGUCGCCAACCCGCGAGGGGAGCCAAUCCCAGAAACCCGAUCGUAGUCCGGAUCGCAGUCUGCAACUCGACUGCGUGAAGUCAGAAUCGCUAGUAAUCGCGGAUCAGCAUGUCGCGGUGAAUACGUUCCCGGGUCUUGUACACACCGCCCGUCACACCAUGGGAGUGGGUUUUACCAGAAGUAGUUAGCCUAACCGUAAGAGGCGAUUACCACGGUAGGAUUCAUGACUGGGGUGAAGUCGUAACAAGGUAAG